CAGAGAUCAUGCCCUUCGGGGUAGACCUCCCACCCUGUGUUAUAUACGAUUGUUGCUUUGGCAGGUCGCCUUCGGGCACUCGGCUCUGGCUGAGGUGCACCUGCCAGAGGACCCCAAACCCUCGCAACCCUUUGCAGCCUGAAGUAAAAAGCAAAUAGUUA
This 161-nucleotide unclassified non-coding RNA is filed under the name uncultured Helotiales. Its description in RNAcentral is "sequence contains ITS1". Lineage: Eukaryota; Fungi; Ascomycota; Leotiomycetes; Helotiales. The record is from RNAcentral.